Molecule: ribosomal RNA, 695 nt
Filed under: uncultured bacterium
Lineage: Bacteria
Description: bacterial SSU rRNA
Rfam family: Bacterial small subunit ribosomal RNA
Source: RNAcentral
AGAGUUUGAUCAUGGCUCAGAUUGAACGCUGGCGGCAUGCCUUACACAUGCAAGUCGAACGGCAGCAUGAUCUAGCUUGCUAGAUUGAUGGCGAGUGGCGAACGGGUGAGUAAUACAUCGGAACGUGCCCUGUAGUGGGGGAUAACUAGUCGAAAGAUUAGCUAAUACCGCAUACGACCUGAGGGUGAAAGUGGGGGACCGCAAGGCCUCAUGCUAUAGGAGCGGCCGAUGUCUGAUUAGCUAGUUGGUGAGGUAAAGGCUCACCAAGGCGACGAUCAGUAGCUGGUCUGAGAGGACGAUCAGCCACACUGGGACUGAGACACGGCCCAGACUCCUACGGGAGGCAGCAGUGGGGAAUUUUGGACAAUGGGCGAAAGCCUGAUCCAGCAAUGGCCGCGUGUGUGAAGAAGGCCUUCGGGUUGUAAAGCACUUUUGUCCGGAAAGAAAUGGCUCUGGUUAAUACCUGGGGUCGAUGACGGUACCGGAAGAAUAAGGACCGGCUAACUACGUGCCAGCAGCCGCGGUAAUACGUAGGGUCCAAGCGUUAAUCGGAAUUACUGGGCGUAAAGCGUGCGCAGGCGGUUGUGCAAGACCGAUGUGAAAUCCCCGAGCUUAACUUGGGAAUUGCAUUGGUGACUGCACGGCUAGAGUGUGUCAGAGGGGGGUAGAAUUCCACGUGUAGCAGUGAAAUGCGU